CCUACGGGAGGCAGCAGUGGGGAAUCUUGCGCAAUGGGCGAAAGCCUGACGCAGCAACGCCGCGUGCGAGAUGAAGGCCUUCGGGCUGUAAACCGCUUUCAGCAGGAACGAAAAUGACGGUACCUGCAGAAGAAGGAGCGGCCAACUACGUGCCAGCAGCCGCGGUGACACGUAGGCUCCAAGCGUUGUCCGGAUUUAUUGGGCGUAAAGAGCUCGUAGGCGGUCUAAUAAGUCGGGUGUGAAAACUCUGGGCUCAACCCGGAGACGCCAUCCGAUACUGUUAUGACUUGAGUUCAGGAGGGGAGCGGGGAAUUCCUAGUGUAGCGGUGAAAUGCGCAGAUAUUAGGAGGAACACCGGUGGCGAAGGCGCCGCUCUGGACUGAAACUGACGCUGAGGAGCGAAAGCAUGGGUAGCAAACAGGAUUAGAUACCCUGGUAGUCCAUGCCGUAAACGGUGGGCACUAGGUGUGGGUUUCAACUACGAAAUCCGCGCCGUCGCUAACGCAUUAAGUGCCCGCCUGGGGAGUCGGCGCAAGCAAACUUAAGGAAUUGACGGCUUGAGAGUUGCGAGCGCGACGAGGGAGAGG
This 587-nucleotide ribosomal RNA is filed under the name uncultured bacterium. RNAcentral describes it as "bacterial SSU rRNA". It matches the Rfam family "Bacterial small subunit ribosomal RNA", at positions 338 to 943 of the family's 1533-position model. The record is from RNAcentral.